This 214-nucleotide unclassified non-coding RNA is filed under the name Hevea brasiliensis (rubber tree). Lineage: Eukaryota; Viridiplantae; Streptophyta; Magnoliopsida; Malpighiales; Euphorbiaceae. The record is from RNAcentral.
CAAGAAAGUAAAACAUAGUGCAAAGAAAGAAUAAUGCUUUAGCUGAGAUCAGAUAACUGCAUUGAAUAAAAAAAAAUGUUCCAUUUUUACCACUGUCACUUUUUUGACAAAAGCAAUAAUGUUCUACAUUUUCCUCUUUCUAUCACCAGCUCCUCAAAUAUGAGUAUAUGACAGAUAUUGCAUUGCCUCUGAUCCAGCUUGUUUAAUCUUUUUG